Long non-coding RNA from Arachis duranensis, 346 nucleotides. RefSeq lists it as uncharacterized. The transcript has 3 exons. Lineage: Eukaryota; Viridiplantae; Streptophyta; Magnoliopsida; Fabales; Fabaceae. The record is from RefSeq and is a predicted model, not a curated record.
UUUCUACCUUCUGAUUUUUUGUAGUCUUACAUCCUUCAACCUUUGGAGCUUUACAAGUCUCAGACCACGUUUUUCCUAUUGCACUACCACUUUGUCUUUUAAGGCUUUUCUCUCUCGCUAGUAGUGUUGUUGCCAUUCAUGGAGAUAGCGCCACUAAGGUUGUAUUCUCAUGUCUCCUUCUAUAGUUGUCAUUUUGCCUUCGAAUAUAUUAGAAAAUGUCAUGUGGAUAGACUCAACUGUGUUAAAUGCUAUUUUCGUUAUGGAUAUAGAAAUGUUAGAGAAAUUACUCAUACUUUUUGUAAAAACAAAAAUGAAGAGGAGAACUAUGAUUUGUUAGCGCCUGACU